GAUGAAGAACGUAGCGAAAUGCGAUAAGUAAUGUGUAUUGCAGAAUUCAGUGAAUCAUCGAAUCUUUGAACGCACAUUGCGCCCCUUGGUAUUCCGAGGGGCAUGCCUGUUCGAGCGUCAUUAUAACCCCUCAAGCUCAGCUUGGUGUUGGGGCCUGCUGCACUGGCAGCCCUUAAAAUCAGUGGCGGCGCCAUCUGGCUCUAAGCGUAGUAAUUCUUCUCGCUAUGGAGUCCUGGUGGAUGCUUGCCAUCAACCCCCAAUUUUUCUAUGGUUGACCUCGGAUCAGGUAGGGAUACCCGCUGAACUUAAGCAUAUCAAUAAGCGGAGGA
This 329-nucleotide unclassified non-coding RNA is filed under the name soil metagenome. RNAcentral's name for it is "partial contains 5.8S ribosomal RNA, internal transcribed spacer 2, and large subunit ribosomal RNA". The stretch from base 1 to 120 matches the Rfam family "5.8S ribosomal RNA", at positions 35 to 154 of the family's 154-position model. The record is from RNAcentral.